This is a long non-coding RNA of Gorilla gorilla gorilla (western lowland gorilla), 426 nucleotides long. RefSeq lists it as uncharacterized. The transcript has 3 exons. Lineage: Eukaryota; Metazoa; Chordata; Mammalia; Primates; Hominidae. The record is from RefSeq and is a predicted model, not a curated record.
UGAGGCAGCACAGUAAGAAGGCCCUCGGCCGGGCGCGGCGGCUCAUGUCUGUAAUCCCAGCACUUUGGGAAGCCGAGGCAGGCGGAUCACGAGAUCCUUGAAGGACAGCACUGUGCCUUGAUCUCCAGGGACCCCAGAAGCACACUUCGAGACCAUGACUCAAGAGCAAGUACUUAAUUUGGAAGGUGAAGGAACUGCUGGUAGCCAAAAACAAAGCGGAAUUGUUCUAGGAAAUAAAUUACUUGAACAGCGGAGGAGACUUUGCCCUAUUUGAUAUGGAAAGCACAGCCAAGGGUGUGGAUAUCAGAGCCUCAGAGUUAGGAGCUGCUCCAAGCCUUCUUCCCUAGAUGCCUCGUGCCCAUCCUGGACAACUUCCAAGUAUCACAGCUCUGGAUGGCCACUCAUCUUCUGUGUACAGACUCCAAC